Molecule: transfer RNA, 83 nt
Filed under: Canis lupus familiaris (dog)
Lineage: Eukaryota; Metazoa; Chordata; Mammalia; Carnivora; Canidae
Also listed under: 2 other names
Rfam family: tRNA
About the family: Transfer RNA (tRNA) molecules are approximately 80 nucleotides in length. Their secondary structure includes four short double-helical elements and three loops (D, anti-codon, and T loops).
Source: Rfam by way of RNAcentral
GCCUGGUUGGCUCAGUGGCUGAGCAUCUGCCUUCGGCUCAGGGCAUCAUCACAGAGUCCUGGGAUCGAGUCCCACAUCAGGCU